Molecule: ribosomal RNA, 301 nt
Filed under: uncultured bacterium
Lineage: Bacteria
Description: partial 16S ribosomal RNA
Rfam family: Bacterial small subunit ribosomal RNA
Source: RNAcentral
CAGCAGCCGCGGGAAUACGUAGGUGGCAAGCGUUGUCCGGAAUUAUUGGGCGUAAAGGGCUCGCAGGCGGUUUCUUAAGUCUGAUGUGAAAGCCCCCGGCUCAACCGGGGAGGGUCAUUGGAAACUGGGAAACUUGAGUGCAGAAGAGGAGAGUGGAAUUCCACGUGUAGCGGUGAAAUGCGUAGAGAUGUGGAGGAACACCAGUGGCGAAGGCGACUCUCUGGUCUGUAACUGACGCUGAGGCUCGAAAGCGUGGGGAGCAAACAGGUUUAGAUACCCCUGUAGUCCCUGUCUCUUAUAC